GCCCAGACUCCUACGGGAGGCAGCAGUGGGGAAUAUUGGACAAUGGGGGGAACCCUGAUCCAGCGACGCCGCGUGAGUGAAGAAGUAUUUCGGUAUGUAAAGCUCUAUCAGCAGGGAAGAAAACAGACGGUACCUGACUAAGAAGCCCCGGCUAACUACGUGCCGGCAGCCGCGGUAAUACGUAGGGGGCAAGCGUUAUCCGGAUUUACUGGGUGUAAAGGGGGCGCAGACGGCCAUGGCAAGCCCGGUGUGAAAGGCAGGGGCAUAACCCCUGGACUGCACUGGGAACUGUCAGGCUGGAGUGCCGGAGGGGUAAGCGGAAUUCCUGGUGUAGCGGUGAAAUGCGUAGAUAUCAGGAGGAACACCGGCGGCGAAGGCGGCUUACUGGACGGCAACUGACGUUGAGGCCCGAAAGCGUGAGGAGCGAACAGGAUUAGAUACCCGAGUAA
This 449-nucleotide ribosomal RNA is filed under the name uncultured bacterium. Its description in RNAcentral is "bacterial SSU rRNA". It matches the Rfam family "Bacterial small subunit ribosomal RNA", at positions 329 to 793 of the family's 1533-position model. The record is from RNAcentral.